GGACCCAGGGAAAUGUGAAGAAAUCAUUAACCAAUCAGUGUGAAAGAGGAAGGAAGUCACAAAUAUGGCAAUAAGAGGAAGGAAGUCACAAAUAUGGCAAAUUUGAUUGUAUAAAUGCUACCUGAAAAGUUGGGGGGGUGUGCUUGAUUUGUGGGAGACCACCAAGCACCCAGGCUUGCGCAACUCUGAAAUAAAUAAAUAAAUGUCUCUCCUGAGUGUGUAAUUAUUGGCUCAUUGCACACCGGGCAACGAAUCCGCUUUUCGGACAACAGUUUUCUGGCGACCCAGGUGGGACCCUCGCUGUAAAGCCUUGCCCGGAUCGUCUUGCCAGUUCCGGCAGGGAGACGCUGCUCAUCAGACUCCAGCGCGCACCGACCGUUUUGUUCGGGGACUCCGUGAGCACCCUCCCUGGUCGGAACAGCCAGGAGAUCAAGUGUACCUUCGGACCUGGAAGGACGAGCCGUUGGUAGAAAAGUGGAGGGGACCGUAUCUUGUACUGCUAACAACAAAUACUGCUGUGAAACUGCAGGGAAUUGAUUCCUGGAUCCACUACACCCGAGUGAAAGCAGUACCUCGAGAGACGUGGAAAGCUGAACAAGUUCAACCUCUAAAGUUAAAAAUACAUAAAGAUAUAUGAGUUGUAUUGGAAGCGAAUCGGUUUUAAAUUUAGAUUGUAUUCAGGAAAGAAUUGCUUUAAUCUGUUUGUUAGGAAUAGGGUUAAUAUUGUUGUUACGGUAUCUAUGGUAUCUGUGUAAAAAUGAUGUUCUCCCAAAUAACCAGGGGAGAAAUGUGGUGGUUAGUUUUUCUAAGUUACCUGAGCCAAACAAUUAAAGGGAAUCAGGAAGGAUUUUGGAGCCAUAAUCUCCAUUUGGAAGUAAUUAUGAAAUCUAUGAAGAUAAUUAACCAGAAGGAUUGCUGGGUGUGUACCCACUUCCCUGAACAUUCCAACAAGGGCUUCCCCCUAAUUGGAGUGCCUCUUAAUUUUUCCUUUAUGGAAUUUAUGAGGCAGAUAAGAAAUGAUAGUGAUCAAACGAAAUAUAAUGAAACAACCGAACAGGAAUGGGAAGUCCAGAGUGUGACAGGAGAUUAUUA
Molecule: long non-coding RNA, 1092 nt
Organism: Dromaius novaehollandiae (emu)
Lineage: Eukaryota; Metazoa; Chordata; Aves; Casuariiformes; Dromaiidae
Exons: 2
Source: RefSeq, a predicted model, not a curated record